This 2909-nucleotide ribosomal RNA is filed under the name Pantoea agglomerans. RNAcentral describes it as "23S ribosomal RNA". It matches the Rfam family "Bacterial large subunit ribosomal RNA". The record is from RNAcentral. Lineage: Bacteria; Pseudomonadati; Pseudomonadota; Gammaproteobacteria; Enterobacterales; Erwiniaceae.
GGUUAAGCGACUAAGCGUACACGGUGGAUGCCCAGGCAGUCAGAGGCGAUGAAGGACGUGCUAAUCUGCGUAAAGCGACGGUAAGGUGAUAUGAACCGCUACAGCCGUCGAUGUCCGAAUGGGGAAACCCGGUGCACUCUGUGCAUCAUUGCAGCAUGAAUACAUAGUGCUGCAAGGCGAACCGGGGGAACUGAAACAUCUAAGUACCCCGAGGAAAAGAAAUCAACCGAGAUUCCCCCAGUAGCGGCGAGCGAACGGGGAGCAGCCCAGAGCCUGAAUCAGUUUGUGUGUUAGUGGAAGCGUCUGGAAAGUCGCAGGGUACAGGGUGAUACUCCCGUACACAAAAACACACAUGCUGUGAGCUCGAUGAGUAAGGCGGGACACGUGGUAUCCUGUCUGAAUAUGGGGGGACCAUCCUCCAAGGCUAAAUACUCCUGACUGACCGAUAGUGAACCAGUACCGUGAGGGAAAGGCGAAAAGAACCCCGGCGAGGGGAGUGAAACAGAACCUGAAACCGUGUACGUACAAGCAGUGGGAGCCUUGAUUUAUCAGGGUGACUGCGUACCUUUUGUAUAAUGGGUCAGCGACUUAUAUUCUGUAGCAAGGUUAACCGUAUAGGGGAGCCGCAGGGAAACCGAGUCUUAACUGGGCGUUAAGUUGCAGGGUAUAGACCCGAAACCCGGUGAUCUAGCCAUGGGCAGGUUGAAGGUUGGGUAACACUAACUGGAGGACCGAACCGACUAAUGUUGAAAAAUUAGCGGAUGACCUGUGGCUGGGGGUGAAAGGCCAAUCAAACCGGGAGAUAGCUGGUUCUCCCCGAAAGCUAUUUAGGUAGCGCCUCGUGAACUCAUCUUCGGGGGUAGAGCACUGUUUCGGCUAGGGGGCCAUCCCGGCUUACCAACCCGAUGCAAACUGCGAAUACCGAAGAAUGUUAUCACGGGAGACACACGGCGGGUGCUAACGUCCGUCGUGAAGAGGGAAACAACCCAGACCGCCAGCUAAGGUCCCAAAGUCAUGGUUAAGUGGGAAACGAUGUGGGAAGGCACAGACAGCCAGGAUGUUGGCUUAGAAGCAGCCAUCAUUUAAAGAAAGCGUAAUAGCUCACUGGUCGAGUCGGCCUGCGCGGAAGAUGUAACGGGGCUAAACCAUGCACCGAAGCUGCGGCAGCGACACUAUGUGUUGUUGGGUAGGGGAGCGUUCUGUAAGCCGUCGAAGGUGUGCUGUGAGGCAUGCUGGAGGUAUCAGAAGUGCGAAUGCUGACAUAAGUAACGAUAAAGCGGGUGAAAAGCCCGCUCGCCGGAAGACCAAGGGUUCCUGUUCAACGUUAAUCGGAGCAGGGUGAGUCGACCCCUAAGGCGAGGCCGAAAGGCGUAGUCGAUGGGAAACAGGUUAAUAUUCCUGUACUCGGUGUUACUGCGAAGGGGGGACGGAGAAGGCUAUAUCGGCCGGGCGACGGUUGUCCCGGUUUAAGCGUGUAGGCGGAGGGUCCAGGUAAAUCCGGUCCCUUAUUAACGCUGAGGCGUGACGACGAGGCACUACGGUGCUGAAGUGAUAAAUGCCCAGCUUCCAGGAAAAGCCUCUAAGCAUCAGGUAACACAGAAUCGUACCCCAAACCGACACAGGUGGUCAGGUAGAGAAUACCAAGGCGCUUGAGAGAACUCGGGUGAAGGAACUAGGCAAAAUGGUGCCGUAACUUCGGGAGAAGGCACGCUGGCGCGUAGGUGGAGGGACCUGCUCCCCGAGCCGAAGCCAGUCGAAGAUACCAGCUGGCUGCAACUGUUUAUUAAAAACACAGCACUGUGCAAACACGAAAGUGGACGUAUACGGUGUGACGCCUGCCCGGUGCCGGAAGGUUAAUUGAUGGGGUUAUCCGCAAGGAGAAGCUCUUGAUCGAAGCCCCGGUAAACGGCGGCCGUAACUAUAACGGUCCUAAGGUAGCGAAAUUCCUUGUCGGGUAAGUUCCGACCUGCACGAAUGGCGUAAUGAUGGCCAGGCUGUCUCCACCCGAGACUCAGUGAAAUUGAACUCGCUGUGAAGAUGCAGUGUACCCGCGGCAAGACGGAAAGACCCCGUGAACCUUUACUACAGCUUGACACUGAACAUUGAGCCUUGAUGUGUAGGAUAGGUGGGAGGCUUUGAAGCGCGGACGCCAGUUCGCGUGGAGCCAACCUUGAAAUACCACCCUUUAAUGUUUGAUGUUCUAACGUAGGCCCGUGAUCCGGGCUGCGGACAGUGUCUGGUGGGUAGUUUGACUGGGGCGGUCUCCUCCUAAAGAGUAACGGAGGAGCACGAAGGUCAGCUAAUCACGGUCGGACAUCGUGAGGUUAGUGCAAUGGCAUAAGCUGGCUUGACUGCGAGAGUGACGGCUCGAGCAGGUGCGAAAGCAGGUCAUAGUGAUCCGGUGGUUCUGAAUGGAAGGGCCAUCGCUCAACGGAUAAAAGGUACUCCGGGGAUAACAGGCUGAUACCGCCCAAGAGUUCAUAUCGACGGCGGUGUUUGGCACCUCGAUGUCGGCUCAUCACAUCCUGGGGCUGAAGUAGGUCCCAAGGGUACGGCUGUUCGCCGUUUAAAGUGGUACGCGAGCUGGGUUUAGAACGUCGUGAGACAGUUCGGUCCCUAUCUGCCGUGGGCGCUGGAGAAUUGAGGGGGGUUGCUCCUAGUACGAGAGGACCGGAGUGAACGCACCACUGGUGUUCGGGUUGUCAUGCCAAUGGCAUUGCCCGGUAGCUAAGUGCGGAAAAGAUAAGUGCUGAAAGCAUCUAAGCACGAAACUUGCCCCGAGAUGAGUUCUCCCUGACUCCUUGAGAGUCCUGAAGGGACGUUGAAGACUACGACGUUGAUAGGCCGGGUGUGUAAGCGCAGCGAUGCGUUGAGCUAACCGGUACUAAUGACCCGUGAGGCUUAACCUU